RNAcentral lists this ribosomal RNA (486 nucleotides) under uncultured Flavobacteriales bacterium. RNAcentral's name for it is "bacterial SSU rRNA". It matches the Rfam family "Bacterial small subunit ribosomal RNA", at positions 28 to 505 of the family's 1533-position model. The record is from RNAcentral. Lineage: Bacteria; Pseudomonadati; Bacteroidota; Flavobacteriia; Flavobacteriales.
GAUGAACGCUAGCGGCAGGCCUAACACAUGCAAGUCGAGGGGUAACAGAAGAAAGCUUGCUUUCUUGCUGACGACCGGCGAACGGGUGCGUAACGCGUAUGCAAUCUACCCUUAACUAAAGAAUAGCCCCGAGAAAUCGGGAUUAAUACUUUAUAACACUAAAGAGUGGCAUCACUCAAUAGUUAAAGCUCCGGCGGUUAAGGAUGAGCAUGCGUCUGAUUAGUUUGUUGGUGAGGUAACGGCUCACCAAGACCACGAUCAGUAGGGGUUCUGAGAGGAUGAUCCCCCACACUGGUACUGAGACACGGACCAGACUCCUACGGGAGGCAGCAGUGAGGAAUAUUGGUCAAUGGACGAAAGUCUGAACCAGCCAUGCCGCGUGCAGGAAGAAUGCCCUACGGGUUGUAAACUGCUUUUAUAUAGGAAGAAACCCUCCCACGUGUGGGAGGCUGACGGUACUAUAAGAAUAAGCACCGGCUAACUCCG